RNAcentral lists this ribosomal RNA (250 nucleotides) under uncultured bacterium. RNAcentral describes it as "partial 16S ribosomal RNA". It matches the Rfam family "Bacterial small subunit ribosomal RNA", at positions 526 to 779 of the family's 1533-position model. The record is from RNAcentral.
CGUAGGUGGCAAGCGUUGUCCGGAUUAUUGGGCGUAAGGGAGCGCAGGUGGUUCUUAAGUCUGAUGUGAAAGCCCACGGCUUAACCGUGGAGGGUCAUUGGAAACUGGGAAACUUGAGUACAGAAGAGGAAUGUGGAACUCCAUGUGUAGCGGUGGAAUGCGUAGAUAUAUGGAAGAACACCAGUGGCGAAGGCGACAUUCUGGUCUGUUACUGACACUGAGGCUCGAAAGCGUGGGAGCAAACAGGAUU